CCGUGUGUCAAGAAGGGUCCUGGACCCGGUUCCUGAAACACGGACCAAGGAGUCUAGAAUGUGCGCGAGUCAAAGGGCUGGCUAAACCCUAAGGCGUAACGAAAGUGAAUGGGAAGGCCGGAGAGGAAUGAUCGAGGGAGGGGAAGGAUUUUAUUCUUCUCCCUUCCUGGUUCGUCCUCCUCCUCCUCCCUUGGGCCGAUCCGGUUUCGACUCUCGUAGUCGAAUUCGCCUCAUAUUAACACAUAGGAGGACGGCGCAGGCCCGGGGCUCGCCAGCUUCCUCCCCGCCACCAACGCUAACGCAGGCGCUCUCCGGUCGUUGGUCGGACUGCCUCUCCGUCCUUUCGUCGUCCGUCGCCGUUUUCGUCGUCGUCCCUCACAAGGGGGCGUUGGCGGUUUCGGCGGUAGGGCGGCGUUGGUCGGGUCCAAGGGGUGGUUCCGCGCGAUCUCGGACGUAGGCUCGCGGGCGGGGACGAGCGGCGGGUACCUAGAGCGUACAUCCUAGUACCCGAAAGAUGGUGAUCUAUGCCUGGCCAGGAUGAAGCCAGAGGAAACUCUGGUGGAGGUCCGUAGCGAUUCUGACGUGCAAAUCGAUCGUCGGA
Molecule: ribosomal RNA, 601 nt
Filed under: Troglocyphoniscus absoloni
Lineage: Eukaryota; Metazoa; Arthropoda; Malacostraca; Isopoda; Trichoniscidae
Description: partial large subunit ribosomal RNA
Rfam family: Eukaryotic large subunit ribosomal RNA
Source: RNAcentral